RNAcentral lists this ribosomal RNA (255 nucleotides) under Enterococcus faecium. RNAcentral describes it as "partial 16S ribosomal RNA". It matches the Rfam family "Bacterial small subunit ribosomal RNA", at positions 69 to 303 of the family's 1533-position model. The record is from RNAcentral. Lineage: Bacteria; Bacillati; Bacillota; Bacilli; Lactobacillales; Enterococcaceae.
UUCUUUUUCCACCGGAGCUUGCUCCACCGGAAAAAGAGGAGUGGCGAACGGGUGAGUAACACGUGGGUAACCUGCCCAUCAGAAGGGGAUAACACUUGGAAACAGGUGCUAAUACCGUAUAACAAUCAAAACCGCAUGGUUUUGAUUUGAAAGGCGCUUUCGGGUGUCGCUGAUGGAUGGACCCGCGGUGCAUUAGCUAGUUGGUGAGGUAACGGCUCACCAAGGCCACGAUGCAUAGCCGACCUGAGAGGGUGA